GGGAGACUGUGUGGCCACGAAAGAUAAAUCCACUAAUAUAUAAAGUAAAACAAUUACAACGUUGUACUUAUUUGUAAAGACAAAGCUAUAACAAUGACACAUAUAAAGCUUGGCUUCUUGAAUUGACACUUGGGCUCCCUCCAAAUAUGAGGCUCUCUCUCAAAAUACUUUAAGCUCCCCUUAAGUACAGGUACACUUGUGACAUCCCAAAUUUUUUGAGGGCCUCUCGUUGGUGAUCUGCUCAGUCCACCGUCCGCCACUCAACCCAAUCGACACCAGCCAUGGUCUCUGCCGUCGAGUUGUGCAUAGUUUGUCGCGCCAAUCACAAACGUCAACCAGCCACGCUCGCAUCCAAUCACGUCUGUGCUUACGCCGUUCGCAUCGUCGAUCCAUCGUGCGUCUCCGGUCAACCGCGCCUCCUUGCCCAAUCGACCGUGUCACCGUUGCUCGCCAGAAUCUUGAGGGUGAUUUGGAGUUUUUGGGAGCGAAAGCGCACUACCGAGCGGAAUUAUGCGUUUUUUGGCAAAGUAUUGGCGAGUUCUUGAGCUUUCUAUGAAGUUUUUGGAUUGUGGUUGAUUAUCAAUUAGGUUUCUGGACUAACCUUGUUUUACCCGUAUGAUGUUGAUGUUGGAUUUGGAGGGUUGGAAUUGAUUUUUGGUUUAAAACGCUUAACUUGGUUUAUGUUAGGGUGGAGAUUCAAUUAGGGUUUAGAGGGAGACUUGAGUAGCCGCACUUUGGGUACUAAUUUGCGUUUUUCAUUGGGGAUCGUUUCACUUGGUGUUAUUUGGGCUUAAUAUUGAGGUAAAUGAUGCUAUUAUCGGGGUGCCCUCGUGCCAGGCGCCCUAGUUCAAAAUUAUCGAGUUAUUAAUAGAUUUUAGAAGCAUGAUUUGAAAUAUGUGUUACUUUAUUUGAUGCAUGAAAGUUAUGAGGACUAUGAGCAUGUUGAAAUUAUAUGUUGUGUUGUGGGAUAACUUACGAGACUUAUGUAUGUGAUAACUUGUAAAAAUACAAGUUAUUUAUGCUGCCUUAUCUAGAUAUUGCGGCCAAAAGAGAAGGAAUAUGCGUCGAUUGUAUGAAAAUUAGCUCAGAAGUACAAUAAUUAUGAAUUAACAUA
Benincasa hispida (wax gourd) is the source of this 1114-nucleotide non-coding RNA. The record is from RefSeq and is a predicted model, not a curated record. NCBI's taxonomy places the organism in Eukaryota, Viridiplantae, Streptophyta, Magnoliopsida, Cucurbitales, Cucurbitaceae.